Molecule: antisense RNA, 75 nt
Filed under: Streptomyces sp. NRRL F-6491
Lineage: Bacteria; Bacillati; Actinomycetota; Actinomycetes; Kitasatosporales; Streptomycetaceae
Also listed under: 1 other name
Description: ASpks sRNA
Rfam family: ASpks TB sRNA
Source: RNAcentral
CUUCAAGGAACCGAGCCAGAGCGGCUGUUCGGUGUCGCGCUCCUGCCCGUACGUGGCGAGCAGGGCCUCCGCCUC